Molecule: long non-coding RNA, 842 nt
Organism: Peromyscus eremicus (cactus mouse)
Lineage: Eukaryota; Metazoa; Chordata; Mammalia; Rodentia; Cricetidae
Exons: 3
Source: RefSeq, a predicted model, not a curated record
CACCCAACUUACUCUCUCAAGUCAAAACCUAUCCUGCAACAUAUCUCCCUUAAAGGGCUUGGACAUCACAAUAGGUUCUAAAAUGUAUGCUCUCCUUAGUAUUUAGUGAUAUCUAGGGCCCAAAGUAUUCAGCACCUUCAAGAAGGAUUGGAAAACUUCAGUAAAUUCCUCUCAGGAAGCCUUGACUUGCAAUUCCCAGGUCUGGGAUAUCUCCUCCACAGCUCCUGGUUCUUGUUAUCCCAGAGGGGGAAGAAGCAAUGACAGCAUAAAGGAUGUUGGUGGAACACCCCCUUAUAGUCACUUGUCACAGGAGUGUAGAAAAGUUCAUGUUUCCCAGUGGGAGCAGAAGGGAUUGGUUAGUCAUCCAAAGACUUAAGGACUACAACUUUCUCACAAAACCUGAGGAAAGGAACUAUGUUCCCUACUGAGUAGAAACAGGAGAGGAACAUGAGACACAAAGACGGGCCUUUACAUUUGAGGAAAAUGGAGUCUAUUUGGAGAUGACGCUGGAAAAUUCAUCUGAGCUAGCACCUCUGUGAGUUGAAUGGUGGGAAAAGAUGGUGAUCACCGAGCUCUACCACACAGCAGGAAACAAUGACUGAGCCUUGAGGAUGAAGACCUUUGUGAGGUCAUAAAGCAGCAGUGAUUGCAAUUAAUUGCUGAUAAAUAUGAAAGAGCCUCUUGUUCCUGGAGGUGAGGCGCCAGGACAAAGUACAGAAGCAGCAGCUUGGAAAGGCAAGUCUCUGAACUGUGGUUGUGAGACGGAUUAGAUGUAAUGGGUGUCGGGAGGCAGAGAGGAAGUAAGAGUGCAAAAAUGAUCAUGAGAGAACCCCAAAGGUGGG